UGUGCCUACUGGACGCAGCAGUGAGGAAUAUUGGUCAAUGGGCUUACGCCUGAACCAGCCAAGUCGCGUGAGGGAAGACGGUCCUAUGGAUUGUAAACCUCUUUUGUCGGGGAGCAAAAGACGCCACGCGUGGCGUUCCGAGAGUACCCGAAGAAAAAGCAUCGGCUAACUCCGUGCCAGCAGCCGCGGUAAUACGGAGGAUGCGAGCGUUAUCCGGAUUUAUUGGGUUUAAAGGGUGCGCAGGCGGAAGAUCAAGUCAGCGGUAAAAUUGAGAGGCUCAACCUCUUCGAGCCGUUGAAACUGGU
This 305-nucleotide ribosomal RNA is filed under the name uncultured bacterium. Its description in RNAcentral is "bacterial SSU rRNA". It matches the Rfam family "Bacterial small subunit ribosomal RNA", at positions 335 to 637 of the family's 1533-position model. The record is from RNAcentral.